Molecule: non-coding RNA, 45 nt
Organism: Trichobilharzia regenti
Lineage: Eukaryota; Metazoa; Platyhelminthes; Trematoda; Strigeidida; Schistosomatidae
Source: Rfam
AUCCAAUUGGCGAGUCCGGAAUAGGACGAAAUGAGCAUCCUGGAU